Molecule: long non-coding RNA, 5929 nt
Organism: Felis catus (domestic cat)
Lineage: Eukaryota; Metazoa; Chordata; Mammalia; Carnivora; Felidae
Exons: 3
Source: RefSeq, a predicted model, not a curated record
UUAACGAAAUGUUUUGAAAACAUACAAAAUAUUAUUUCCAUAUAUAAUCAAUGUAAAAUCAUUAUAAAAUGAUUAAUAAGAUUUUACAUUCUUUCUUUACAGCCAACUCUAAAAUCUGAUGUGCAUUUCACACUUACAGCACAUCCCAGUUCAGACUGGCCACAUUUCAAAUGCUCGAUAGCCACAUGUAGCCAGGGGUACCAUAUUGGACAGUUCUGAUCUAGAAUGAUGGUCACUUCCCAUUUGGGCCAGUUGUGUUUUCCUCCCUUUAUUUCCCUGCAUGAUGAGCAACAACGACAAAAACCCUAAGUAAUAAAGGGUUUGUGUGACUGGCUCUGGUGUCUUUAGGAAGAGGUAAGCUGGCAAGACCACAGUGUCUUUCACAGCCAGGCUUGGGGAGAAGAACCUGAGGGAGAAAGGGGGUGGCGAUGUUGAAGAGAAGAGAGAAGCCAGGUGAGUGGGUCUCUGGGGUCUGCGUUAGGGAGAAGGGUGAAGGGAGCCAGAGCACAAGGGUCCUGCAGGAUGGAAGAAGGAACCACCCCGGAAUAGCCAGGGGUGCUUCCUGACAGCCAUUCCCUGGGGUCUCUCUGAGGGCAGGGAGGCCAUGCCCACCUCUGAUCACAGAGUGUUUGCAGGAUGCAGCCCGGUGACAAGAGAGCUGCCGCCACGAUGCCACCAGGACUGAACAGCACCUAUCCUGGAAAUGUGUGCACGGGAUGUUUCAUCAAUGCUGAAUGAACAAACGCAUCUCCCAUUCAAGUGGAGGUCCAAAAGAAAGGCCUGAGAGACAGAUUUUUCUUCCCUCCUAAGUUACAGUUUGUGGUAACCUGAAGUCUCAGAAGAAAGUUCAAGACCUUCCUCGGUCACCAGCUGGGGUGCCUUACGGGGAGCAAAGGCCAUUCUCAGUGAGAGCCACAGCCAGUCCAGCAGCCGGGAGCCCCACCUGGAGCUGCCCUGUGUUUGUGAUAUCAAAGGCCCCCCAGCCUAAGCAUCCAAGAAGCUGAGCAUGGCCUCCCGGUUGUACAUGCCCGUGGACCGCUUCUCCGUCUGGUUUCUCUGCCGCAGCCCCACGGGGGUGCUCCCAUCCGGGUCCGCCACGUCCAGCUCCUUCUCCAGCUCCUCCAUCUCCUCGGGAGACAGGGUGGACAGCAGGCUGUCGAUGUCGGGGUCUUCACUCACCUGCCGGCGAUACUUGGCUACCUUAGACAUCCUGGCAAGGUGCGCUGGGACUCUUGCAGGGGCUGCUGGAGUCCUGGUGGGCGACGAGGGGGAGGCGCGGAGCUGACCUAGACGGAGCAGAGUGGGCUUGAGAGCAGACUCCCAGCUGGUCGAGGACGCGGUGUCUCCUCCGCCCUGCCCUGCGGUGCCACAGGUGCCGAAGCGUUAACUGCAAGCUAACUCCGAGCCCAGGGCUAGUGGACCCUGGCUGGUCUAACCAGCGGCCAAUGAGACUUGACAACGGCCUGGCCCCGAAAGGGGAAGCCAAUCCCCACACAGGGGGGGCGGGCCUGCCUCGCUGUCAGAGCUGUUUGAAACUUGAGGACAUUCCAGGGAAUCUUGGAGCUCUGUGUGACCAAAUUUAGUACAGAGCAUUUAGCCUUUUAAAGACAAGGGGGCCACGCAAUGAGAAAAAGAUACAAAAAUGCAGAGCCUGGCAGAAGCUGAUCAGAGCCACGGGAGGGCCAGAAAAGCAGGGAUGGGGCCAUGGGGGUUCAGGAACAGGCCAGCCCCAGGCACGUCCUGUUCAAGCACAUAUCUGACUUCUCCACCCGGGGUGGGUGUUGCCGUUGUUGGUACGUGGUCCACUGACUCCUUUCUACUGUAUUUGGUAAUGUGCUGGGGGACUUCCAGUAGUUUACAGCCCAGGAAAGAUACAUGAUUCCAGAUCAUCUGAACUACCUGCCCACCCGUUCUCUCUGGGAAGGAGAACCCUAGUGCUGAGCAUCAGAGGCCCCAGCCACUUCUUGAGAGACAGAGAGAGAGGGAGAGAGAACAAAUCUUCACUGUGUACCCAAACUGAAAACUUGCAGGCUGUUUGGGGAAGACAGUGGGACCCGCGGAAGUCAGGAAACUCUUAAAGAACCGUCAAUUUCCAUGAAGUGCCAUGGCUCUUAGCGAGAGGGUUCAGACCUCCCUCCCUUCUCAUCUGCUUCCUCCGCUGCUGGGGCAUCUGUAGACAGAUCUCCUUUGGGAGCACCGGCAGGUUGCCACCCCACGUAUAAAUCCAGAGCACGACCGAGUGUGUCUUCGGGGAAAUAUAAUUCUGGGCUGUUGGGAGGGAUACUAUGGCAGCAAGUCUGGCAUGUUUCGUAAAAGGGCUUUCCACUGCUCAUCCAUCAUGCUGCCUGCACAAGUCACAGAGACACUCAAUCUCCUGCCCCCCUCCCUCCUGCCACAAAAUCCCUUCUAGAAGCCCUGGUGUAACCCAUCAGGGUAGAUGCUUCGAUCUUUCCUGGCGUCUUUCCAUCCUAAGCCAGAGAGAGACCGUCACCUGAUCAGCAUCUGCUGAGUCCAGGGAUCGUCUGGGACAAAAACUUGGCCCUGGCAUUUAACGUCCACUAGUCCGGCUUUAGGUUAAGGCUGAGCAGGGGAUGGCACUGACUGGCGGGACUGGAGUGCAGAGGUGAGGCAGGGAGACCUGAGAGGAAGGGUGGAAGAAAGGCUUAGAGAAUCCUGGGGGUUGUCAUUUUUAGGAGGCAGUAGUCAGUCUGUCGGUGAGCCAGUAAGCAUGUAUUUAUUGAGUGCUUACUAUGUGUCAGGCAUGGUUCUAAGGGCAAGGCAUGUAACUAAAGAUAGAAAAUCAGGGGCGCCUGGCUGGCUCAGUGGGUGGAGCAUCUGACUCUUGGUCUCAGGGUUGUGAGUUCAAGGCCCAUGUUGGGUGUGGAGCCUAACUUAAAAAAAAAAAAAAAAAAAGAAGAAGAAGAAAGAAAAUAAAAAAGAAACUCAGUGUGGGCCCUGCCUUCUUAUAGCUUACUUUUAUCAGUGAAGAGAAUUAAUAAGGAAAUAAUUUCAAGUAAUUCAUUAAACAGUUAAAAGCCUACAAAAUGCCUCAAAAGAGAAGUACAGGGGCCAUAAGGAAACGCCACAGGGGAGGCUGCAGAGCAGGAUGGCUUCAUCGUUCAAGUUCAAGCUUGGGCUCUCCAGGCCAAAGGACCAUGCAUGUUAGGUCCUGGAGUUGCUACUUACUGGUCAAGUGACUGAGGGUCAGCUUCAUCAUCUGUAAAAUAAGGACAACAUUGUAAGACUGUUGCGAACAUCGGAUCCAAACAUACACAUAGAACAGGUGCUAUAUUGAUAUAUAGUAAAUGCAUAGUAAUCAUGAGCAGUUAUUACAACUGUUACAUAGUCAUUUACAAUUAUUUAUUCACUUGCUUCCUGGGUUCUUUUCUCCCCAUCCCACCUCUUCUCUUACCUUUUUCUUUCUUUCCUCAGCAGUAACCGCGCACGCACACACACACACACACACACACACACACACACACACCCCUUCUUAUCUGGUCCUCAUUCAUUCAUUCAUUCAUUCAUUCAAGCAUUAUUCAGAUACUGCUAUGUAUAGAUAGCAUGUCAGGCACUACAGGGUAAGAGAUACAAAAAUAAUUACAACAUGGUUUUUCUCUUUAAAAUGUAUGAUUUAUAGGGCAAAAACCAAUUAUACUGUAAGGCAAAGUGAAGCAAGACAGGUGGAAGCAAUUGUUAAGAGCCCAACAGAAGCUGCAGCAAUUUUGCAGGGAGAAGUCAGGGGGGCAUCCCAGAGGGCAUAACAAAGGACUUGAGCUAGCCUGAGGUGGGCUUUCCUUUGAUAUGCUCAUGGAAAGGACACUUCCUGCACCUGCCAGCGAGUCCCUAGCCCAACCCACCCCUACUCCUGUCUCGCCUCGGGUCACUCAGUCUUCACUCUCACUCUUGCCCAGCAGGGGCUUUCUGGAAGAGGCAUCGUCCCUGGCUCUGGAGCCACCUUGGCCAACCUCUAGUCUCCCAGGCCCCAGUCCACUAAAAGCAGCUCUCUUUCCAGCCCCCAACGAUUCUUCUUUCUUAGGCUUUUGGCCAAUAAUGUUCACUGCUUCCAAAGAGCAGCCAGGGCCUGAAUCAAAAACCACCUUCAGCCCCAGGGGUAGCCUUUGUACCAUCUGGUUUCGGUGACCUUCCCUCUGGGUCCAGUGGUCUCUGCUUGAGGAACACACUCAAAAAACAGAUCCACAGCUUCCAAAAUUUAAGUCAGGACUCGUGGCCUCCUAACCAAAGUUUCUGCACAUAAACCCCUGCACCUUCUCUGCCUCGGGUCCCACAAUUCCAAACAGCUGGCUCUUCUGAUAUGAUCCAGUCUGAGAUUUUUUGCUCCCUAGAGUCCCAGGGACUGUGGGCUCACAGACUCUGAAAAGCUUCCCUUGAAAAGUAUCACAGAGGGAUCUGGAAGACUUGGGAACCCAGAGCCCAGGAGUCCAGUCUCCUCCAGCGCCUGCAGUGAAGGACCACUGCCCACUUACUCUGUAGAGGGCAAGAAUUAUCCAAGCUCAGAAUCCACUUCCACCUGAAACAAACACACCUUGAGUGUUAUGGGAUGCUGACACAGCCUACUCCCCAGAGAAACAUUUGCUGUUAUGCUGGAACCGGGGGGAGAGAAAGGAAGAAAAAGAGACCUUAAGCUCUAGCCAAAUAUGUGGUGGUGGUGGGAAUAGGGAACCAGAACCAAUUUAACUAAUGCUUAGGGUGGUUCUUUAACUAGACUGGAUGACCCCACUAAAGUCACAUUUUCAGGAACAUACAGUGACAGGCAGUAUAGUAUAGCAGAUAAGACCACAGGCUCUGGAGUCAAAUGACCUGGGCUCAGAUCUAAGAUGUGUGACCUUGAGUAAGUUUUUAACCUCUCUCAGCCUUAGAUGGAAAAUGAGGACAUUAAAAGUACCCACCUAAAGAAAAGAAAGUAGCUACUGCAGAGGGUUAUGGAAUUAUUAAAUAGAUUAAAUAAGAUAAUGCAUGAGGCACCUGGGUGGCUCAGUUGGUUGGGCAUCUGACUUCGGCUCAGGUCAUGAUCUCACUGCUUGUAGGUUUGAACCCUACGUUGGGCUCUGUGCUGACAGCCUGGAGCCUGCUUCGGAUUCUGUCUCCAUCUCUCUCUCUCUCAAAUAUAAAAUAAAAAAACAUUUUUUUUUAGAAGAUAAUGUACUCUAAGGGCAUAACAUAGCAUCAGACACAUUGUCCGCACUCAAUAUAUUGUGAGUCAAUAUAUAAUCACAUUGGUUCUCUUCUCUGGUGGGGGGAAGCUGGAAGUUUCUCUAAAGCAGCACAUUUUGUCUCUAGAAGCAGGCCACUGGCCUGUCCCGGCACUCCUGAGGUGAGUGGUAGUGGGUAGAGGGGAGCUCUGAGACCGCACAGGCCAGACUAAUGUCUUCCUGGAAGGAGAGCAAGGGGGAACAAAAGGGGCAGAAAGGGAAAAAGACUGCCUCCCCCACCCUCACCCUGACUGAAACCUCUCUGCCCACCAAAGAGGAGCCAGUCACAGACAGCAACCCCAAACCCGAGAGUCAGCUGUGGUGCAAGCCUCACUCGUCCAUGCCGAUUUGAGUUUCCCAGUGACCGGAUCGGGCAGGGCUAGGGGGUUUGGAGACAUGGCCUGUCUCCCCUGGGCGGACCAAACUCUUUAGGACUCCCACGGCCUCUGGCUCAGUGGAGCUCGACCUAUGUAGAUCCAGGAACCUUGAAGGUACUGAGUGGCCGGGACGGGAAGAGUCUGGAAAUGUCCAUCCCCCUUCCUCCAUAAGUUGGGUCUGUGUGGAAACAAGCAUUCUUGGUUCCCUUACUCAUUUGUGGUUUAUUCUCUUGUGCACUCCCCACAGUAGCUAUUUCAGGCCUGCUGCUUACCCUAUGACCUCAUUGUAUCCUUCUAGAAUGAACUCCUUUAGCUAUAUUAAUAAAGGAGAUAAAACUUAAA